Molecule: ribosomal RNA, 464 nt
Filed under: Vreelandella stevensii
Lineage: Bacteria; Pseudomonadati; Pseudomonadota; Gammaproteobacteria; Oceanospirillales; Halomonadaceae
Description: partial 16S ribosomal RNA
Rfam family: Bacterial small subunit ribosomal RNA
Source: RNAcentral
CCUACGGGUGGCAGCAGUGGGGAAUAUUGGACAAUGGGCGAAAGCCUGAUCCAGCCAUGCCGCGUGUGUGAAGAAGGCCUUCGGGUUGUAAAGCACUUUCAGUGGGGAAGAAAGCCUUGGGGCUAAUACCCUCGAGGAAGGACAUCACCCACAGAAGAAGCACCGGCUAACUCCGUGCCAGCAGCCGCGGUAAUACGGAGGGUGCGAGCGUUAAUCGGAAUUACUGGGCGUAAAGCGCGCGUAGGCGGUCUGAUAAGCCGGUUGUGAAAGCCCCUGGCUCAACCUGGGAACGGCAUCCGGAACUGUCAGGCUAGAGUGCAGGAGAGGAAGGUAGAAUUCCCGGUGUAGCGGUGAAAUGCGUAGAGAUCGGGAGGAAUACCAGUGGCGAAGGCGGCCUUCUGGACUGACACUGACGCUGAGGUGCGAAAGCGUGGGUAGCAAACAGGAUUAGAACCCCUGUAGUC